This 778-nucleotide ribosomal RNA is filed under the name Haliclona sp. Po.25929. RNAcentral's name for it is "bacterial SSU rRNA". It matches the Rfam family "Eukaryotic small subunit ribosomal RNA", at positions 398 to 1103 of the family's 1831-position model. Lineage: Eukaryota; Metazoa; Porifera; Demospongiae; Haplosclerida; Chalinidae. The record is from RNAcentral.
GAGAAACGGCUACCACAUCUAAGGAAGGCAGCAGGCGCGCAAAUUACCCAAUCCCGACUCGGGGAGGUAGUGACGAUAAAUAACAAUGCCGGUCCCAAAGUGGUCCGGCAAUUGGAAUGAGACCAAUCCAAACCCCUUAACGAGGAACAAUUGGAGGGCAAGUCUGGUGCCAGCAGCCGCGGUAAUUCCAGCUCCAAUAGCGUAUAUUUGUUUUGCUGCAGUUAAAAAGCUCGUAGUUGGAUUUCGGGGCCCGUCGUGGAGGUCUUUUCGUUGCGGCGCGAGAGGGUGACCUCGAGCGUCUGCGGGGAAGGGUCUUGCGACGCUCGGCCGGAGCGGUCCGUCGAGAGGCGAGCACUGCCCGGCGGCUCCAGAGUUUCUCGGGGGGUCCGUCUGCUCUUCAUUGCAGCGGUCGGGUCGUUCGGGACGUUUACUUUGAACAAAUUAGAGUGUUCCAAGCAGGCCGGUCGCUUUGAAUACGUUAGCAUGGAAUAAUGGAAUAGGGCUGGUGCGUCCUAUUUUGUUGGUUUUCGGGACCGCAGUCAUGGUCGAUAGGGACAGUUGGGGGCGUUGGUAUUCAGUUGUCAGAGGUGAAAUUCUCGGAUUUACGGAAGACCGUCUGGUGCGAAGGCGUUCGCCAAGGAUGUUUUCAUUAAUCAAGAACGAAAGUUGGGGGUUCGAAGACGAUCAGAUACCGUCGUAGUCCCAACCAUAAACCAUGCCGGCUAGGGAUCGGCGGGCGUCGGAUGCGACCCCGUCGGCACCUUGCGAGAAAUCGAAG